UUAUAUUCUGUAGCAAGGUUAACCGAAUAGGGGAGCCGAAGGGAAACCGAGUCUUAACUGGGCGUUAAGUUGCAGGGUAUAGACCCGAAACCCGGUGAUCUAGCCAUGGGCAGGUUGAAGGUUGGGUAACACUAACUGGAGGACCGAACCGACUAAUGUUGAAAAAUUAGCGGAUGACUUGUGGCUGGGGGGGAAAGGCCAAUCAAACCGGGAGAUAGCUGGUUCUCCCCGAAAGCUAUUUAGGUAGCGCCUCGUGAAUUCAUCUCCGGGGGUAGAGCACUGUUUCGGCAAGGGGGUCAUCCCGACUUACCAACCCGAUGCAAACUGCGAAUACCGGAGAAUGUUAUCACGGGAGACACACGGCGGGUGCUAACGUCCGUCGUGAAGAGGGAAACAACCCAGACCGCCAGCUAAGGUCCCAAAGUCAUGGUUAAGUGGGAAACGAUGUGGGAAGGCCCAGACAGCCAGGAUGUUGGCUUAGAAGCAGC
This 488-nucleotide ribosomal RNA is filed under the name Escherichia coli. RNAcentral's name for it is "bacterial LSU rRNA". It matches the Rfam family "Bacterial large subunit ribosomal RNA", at positions 628 to 1116 of the family's 2925-position model. The record is from RNAcentral. Lineage: Bacteria; Pseudomonadati; Pseudomonadota; Gammaproteobacteria; Enterobacterales; Enterobacteriaceae.